Ficedula albicollis (Collared flycatcher) is the source of this 477-nucleotide long non-coding RNA. RefSeq lists it as uncharacterized. Lineage: Eukaryota; Metazoa; Chordata; Aves; Passeriformes; Muscicapidae. The transcript is spliced from 3 exons. The record is from RefSeq and is a predicted model, not a curated record.
GUUGUUGUCUCUUGGUUGUUUUCUUUUUUUCUUAAUUGGAGUGAGAUUUCUCAUGAAUAAUGAAAUUAAUGUCUUUUGCAGCCAAAAUAAACACCAUAUGGUCAGGGAGAAAGGGACCAGGAAAAGAUGAGGAAGGCACAGCAGCAGCUGAAGCUGAUAGGAGACAAAAUGGACUGAAGGAAACAGAGAGGGGCCAGUAACCUCAGGGUGCUGUGCCACAGGCUGUACUAGCCCAGGUCAUGCUCUGUGGGACUCUCAGCUGUCCUUGCUUGGUGGAACAGGUGGGAUUGCAGAGGGCAUCAGAGCAGCUUCUGGAGGAUGACUUACCUUCACCCAAAUGCCUCUUCCACAGUGAUACCUGCAGAAUCCCAGGAAACCUCAGCAGAGAUGACAAGACACCCUGCUGGAAAUGAUUCCUGCACUUAAUAAGUAAAUGGGCUUUCCUGGGAGCAAAACAAAGAGCCUGAUGUGUUUCCU